UACUCCUACGGGAGGCAGCAGUGGGGAAUAUUGGACAAUGGGCGCAAGCCUGAUCCAGCCAUGCCGCGUGAGUGAUGAAGGCCUUAGGGUUGUAAAGCUCUUUUGUCCGGGACGAUAAUGACG
This 123-nucleotide ribosomal RNA is filed under the name uncultured bacterium. RNAcentral's name for it is "partial 16S ribosomal RNA". It matches the Rfam family "Bacterial small subunit ribosomal RNA", at positions 334 to 456 of the family's 1533-position model. The record is from RNAcentral.